GAUGAACGCUGGCGGCGUGCCUAAUACAUGCAAGUCGAGCGAACAGACGAGGAGCUUGCUCCUCUGACGUUAGCGGCGGACGGGUGAGUAACACGUGGAUAACCUACCUAUAAGACUGGGAUAACUUCGGGAAACCGGAGCUAAUACCGGAUAAUAUAUUGAACCGCAUGGUUCAAUAGUGAAAGACGGUUUUGCUGUCACUUAUAGAUGGAUCCGCGCCGCAUUAGCUAGUUGGUAAGGUAACGGCUUACCAAGGCGACGAUGCGUAGCCCACCUGAGAGGGUGAUCGGCCACACUGGAACUGAGACACGGUCCAGACUCCUACGGGAGGCAGCAGUAGGGAAUCUUCCGCAAAGGGCGAAAGCCUGACGGAGCAACGCCGCGUGAGUGAUGAAGGUCUUCGGAUCGUAAAACUCUGUUAUUAGGGAAGAACAAAUGUGUAAGUAACUAUGCACGUCUUGACGGUACCUAAUCAGAAAGCCACGGCUAACUACGUG
This 497-nucleotide ribosomal RNA is filed under the name uncultured bacterium. RNAcentral describes it as "partial 16S ribosomal RNA". It matches the Rfam family "Bacterial small subunit ribosomal RNA", at positions 28 to 507 of the family's 1533-position model. The record is from RNAcentral.